AUGAACGCUAGCGGCAGGCUUAACACAUGCAAGUCGAGGGCAGCGUGGAGCAGCAAUGCUCUGACGGCGACCGGCGGAAGGGUGCGUAACACGUGAGCGACUUGCCCGUCACGAGGGGGAUAACCGGCGGAAACGGCGACUAAUACCCCCAUACGAUGCGAUGCUGCAUGGCAUUGCAUUGAAAGAUUCAUCGGUGGCGGAUAGGCUCGCGGGACAUUAGCUAGACGGCGGGGCAACGGCCCACCGUGGCGACGAUGUCUAGGGGUUCUGAGAGGAAGGCCCCCCACACUGGGACUGAGACACGGCCCAGACUCCUACGGGAGGCAGCAGUGAGGAAUAUUGGUCAAUGGGCGGAAGCCUGAACCAGCCAUGCCGCGUGAAGGACUAAGGCCCUACGGGUCGUAAACUUCUUUAGACGCAGAGCAAUAAGGUCCACGUGUGGACCGAUGAGAGUAUGCGUAGAAUAAGCAUCGGCUAACUCCGUG
This 485-nucleotide ribosomal RNA is filed under the name uncultured bacterium. Its description in RNAcentral is "bacterial SSU rRNA". It matches the Rfam family "Bacterial small subunit ribosomal RNA", at positions 29 to 507 of the family's 1533-position model. The record is from RNAcentral.